Long non-coding RNA from Quercus lobata, 668 nucleotides. RefSeq lists it as uncharacterized. The transcript is spliced from 3 exons. NCBI's taxonomy places the organism in Eukaryota, Viridiplantae, Streptophyta, Magnoliopsida, Fagales, Fagaceae. The record is from RefSeq and is a predicted model, not a curated record.
UCUUAUCUCUUUCUUAUUUCCUUGUUCCCACACAGCAGCACCUUAUCUCCUCUUUGACUUUCUCAAAGCAACUAAAAGACGUAAGAACUCUCUCCCUCUCAUACCCACGAGUCCAACAUCAAAAGAAAGAAAAGCUCUCAACACUUCUCUCCCUCUCACACCUACGAGUCCAACAGAAAGGAACAAGAGUUUCUUUCAAAUCUUCUCAAGCUCUUGUUCCCAACUUGAAAUUAGAGUGAUUCUAGCUCUAUCACUCUAAGAAACUGUGUCUAGGGUGUUACCAGUUCCCAAGUUUAAGCUCCUUCAACUUUAGGCUCUCGGUUCCUCUACUUUCAGGAUGCAAAUGAAGACGUUAAGUGCAAAACGUAGCUAAUUGGGCGAUUCUGGACAGCUUUGACAUUGCUUCGUAAUCUGGGCAUAACUCUCUCAUCCAAGCUCCGAUUGAGAUGAUUCAAAAUGCUAUGGAACGCCAAGACAAAGUUCUACAACUUUCAUAUUUUGAGUUUUGAGAGAUACGGGCUGAAUCAAGGUCGAAAUUGGGCUUGAAGUUGCUGCACCUGCACUAUUGACGUUCUGGAAUGUUCUUUUGCCUGCAAUUCUAAUACGCAGAUCUGAUGGGGUUUAUUUUCAGAAGCUUCCAGAUUUUGUGCACGAAAUUUUCAGCUGAA